RNAcentral lists this non-coding RNA (29 nucleotides) under Mus musculus (house mouse). Lineage: Eukaryota; Metazoa; Chordata; Mammalia; Rodentia; Muridae. The record is from RNAcentral.
UCGGGGAAAGCCAGAGCUCUGGGUACGAC